Molecule: long non-coding RNA, 727 nt
Filed under: Fragaria vesca (wild strawberry)
Lineage: Eukaryota; Viridiplantae; Streptophyta; Magnoliopsida; Rosales; Rosaceae
Description: long non-coding RNA (FVES_LNC002205)
Source: RNAcentral
UUCGAGAAGUGAAGAGGUUGGGUUACAUAGCAGGUCCUAUGGUGGCUGUGAAUUUGUCACAGUACUUUCUGCAAAUCGUUUCGAUCAUGAUGGUUGGUCAUUUGGGUCAGCUCUCUCUUUCCAGUACUGCUAUUGCCAUCUCCUUCUGUGCAGUCUCCGGCUUCAGUCUUAUUGUAAGUCCCUUCUUUUUCUGUUACUGUUUCGUUUUCUCAAUUAGGGUCUGUCUAAUUUAAAACUUAGGUUUGUGUUUAUGAUAGUUGUUGUUCACUUUCUUUUACUAUAAAGAAGAAAAGGCAAUGUAGGGUUCAGUUGAUAGAACAAGACUUUGUAACUAUUAGGCUGAAUAUAUAGGAUCAAAUUGGUUUGCCAAUCAGUGUUUCAAAACUUGAUGCAUUUUGUAAUGUGUACGUUGCUGAGCAGUUUGGAAUGGCCUGUGCACUCGAAACUCUCUCUGGGCAAGCAUACGGAGCUCAGCAGUAUCGACAGCUAGGACUACAUAUAAGCACUGCUAUCUUUUCUCUAAUGCUAGUUUGUCUCCCUCUAUCUCUUGUGUGGAUUUAUAUGGAGAAGAUACUAGUAUUGUUGGGCCAAGACCCUCUAAUUUCGCAUGAAGCGGGCAGGUUUGCAAGGAUGCUCUUACCUGCACUGUUUGCUUAUGCAGCUCUUCAGCCACUUUGUAAAUAUCUUCAGACACAAAGCUUAAUCGUUCCCUUGCUUUUAAGCUCUU